This is a long non-coding RNA of Brassica rapa (field mustard), 5841 nucleotides long. RefSeq lists it as uncharacterized. The record is from RefSeq and is a predicted model, not a curated record. NCBI's taxonomy places the organism in Eukaryota, Viridiplantae, Streptophyta, Magnoliopsida, Brassicales, Brassicaceae.
UCAUUUUUUUAAUAAGAUAGAUUUGAAAUUCGUUUUUAUUUUUUUGAUUAAUUUAUAUUAUUAUUCAUUAAGGGUAUAAACGAUAUUAACCGCUCUAACUUUUAACGUGAGAGCUCCGUUGAAAAAUUUUACUUUGCGAAUAAUAGUAUAGAUAUUUUUUUUUUGAUUUUUUAAAUAAAAAAUGUGGUCAAAGACGAAAUAACCCUUAAUGAAAUAGCUUAAUUACAAGGAUCCAACUCUAAAGACCCGACCGACCCAAACCCUACUCGGUUUAAUCCGGAUCCUAAUCUAAACGACGGCGUUCCCUCCUCAAUCGUCCCUAUCUCUCUUACUUUUCUGAUUUCACGUCUUCUUCAUGUUCUUCCCAAUUCUCCCUCUCUUUCUGGCGACGGCGAAGCGAAACCGUAGAGAACCAAACCGGACCUCUUCAACGAACUCAAUUCAUCGUACAGAAGCGAAAAAAACAUCACACAAUAAACAUGACCACUUUGUGUUCUUCUCCAUCUUCCCCGCGAUUCUUCGCCACCAAAUCUGAACUCUACAAAGCUCCUUUUUUAUCCUUCUCCAUUCUAAAACGAUGUCAUUCUCGUCCUCCCCGUAAUCUAAACUCUAAUGACUCAACUUAUCGCGACGGCAAUCUUUUUACAAUCUGCACUUCGUCUUCCUCUGAAGACCAACGUCUAAUCUUAACCUAGACGUCCACCGUAUCUCCCCCUAGCUACUUCCCGCUUCAAGCUCUUUCUCGAUUCGGGGAAAGACGCUGUCUCCGACUUGCAAACUUUAGUCUCGCUAGACGUGCAGGAAAUCAACUAUGCAGUUUGUUGGAGGUGUGGUUUCGAUUGGUGUUUGGUUUUUCAGUUAGGAUUUUUGUAUGUUUGUGAACAGCUUUUAAGGGUGGUUUACAAGGGAGACCCAAGUUGGUAGUUAGGAGAGAUAGAAGUCUUGGUGGGAAGGAAGUGGUUGUAGCUGUUGAUAACAUUGGUUCAUCUUCAAGCUCCGUAGCUUCUUCUGGUCAGGCUUCUAAAAAUAACUCUGUAGCUAGAACCCUCAAGCUUUGAGCUCAGAACAAUUUUCCGAAAUGGUGGCCUGCUUCAUUGCCUAGACACAGCUUGGAAGUAGACAAAGAAGACUAUCAGAGAGAAGUCAACAUAAUCGUUAGGGGUUGUUUCUAUAAACUCCUUCAAUGUCAUCUCUUUUGGAUUUUCAUCACAAGCUUUUGCUUAAAGACAACUUCUUUUGUCUGUUUUGUUUCAGCUGAAGAAGCUGAUAAAACAGAGCAAGGAAUUAUGGAAGAAGAGGGAAGAAACUGAGAAGUCAUAAGCCAAUUAAGUUGUAAACCUGAGAGUCUCUGCGUUUCACUUUAACGAUAUUAGCAACAUGGUGUAAGAGACUUGUGAAGCUUGAGCUUAGUGGUUGUGAAGGUAGCUUUGAUGGGAUUAAAGCCAUUGGGAAAUGUUGUGACCACAGACCUGCUGAGAAUCUCGGCUUGUAGAAAGGUGGAUCCUUGUACUGGACCAGAGAAGUUGAUGAGGUCUUGCCCGGCUCUCGAGAGUUUGCAACUCAAAAAGUGUUGUUUGAAUGAUAAAGAAGGGACGAGAGCUUCUUGGGGUAUUAUAUUUUAUCUUCGGUGGAUCCUUGUCCUGGACCAGAGAAGCGUUGGGAGCUUCUUGAUGUUUUAUAUCAAUUAGGUACAGUAUGAUGUUUUGCAUAAAAUUAUAGUAUUGAGAAAACUUAUUGUUGAUUUUAUUUUUGUUGUUAUGUUUGGAAAACCAAAGAAACGUUUGUGAUAUUUAUUACAUGAAUAAAAAGCUGUGCUUUGGAUGUCAAAAACAUGGUAUGUGUUGCAAAAUACAUGUUUUGAUCACUGGAUUUAGUAGGUUUAUUAUGUGCAAAAAAUGAGUUAGUUGGACAAUUUACCCAUGUAAAAUGGGUUAGUUAGGCGGAGUCUUUGAUUGAGUUCUUAAGGCAGCCAAAAUCUGUUAGUAGUAACGGUGGAAGAUCGUCCCAACUGUGAGAUGAUUACACAUGUAAAAUACCUUGUGAUAAACUUAUAAUAAAAAAAUUAUACAUAUAAUAAUAAAACAAUUAUACAUAUAAUAAUAAAACAAUUACACAUGUAAAACGUGCUGCAGUUAUAUACAUAAAUUUAAUAUUCCAAUUAUACUUAGUAAUUCAAAGUAAUCUUCAAGGUAGUAGUAAUACUACCUUACACAUAGUAAUACUUUGGCAAAUUUAAGUUUUAUUAGUAAAACAGUGUCCAAAUGAAAUAUUUUGUAGUAAAACCAAUGAUUUUAUACAAUGAAUAUCAUUAAGAAAAAGUAUUACAUAAACAGUUAACGAGAAAUAAGUAUUUUUAUAGGUUCUUCCUACUAUAACCUUAUGAUUCACAUAACAACCAUGAAAGUUAAAGAGUUAUUUUGGGAAAAUGAUAAAUAUUCUUAAAACUAUAGAAAAUAAUCAUCUAAAUAAUUAUAAUAAUCUUAUUUACUAUAUACAUAGUCUACUAAUAAAUAAUAUAUUAGAUAUAUAUGUUAAAUAUACGUACUACUUGCAAUAUAUAGGAGUUACAAAUUACACAUAAUUAAAACCAAGUAAUCCUAGUAAUCCGAAUUACACAUAAUAAAUUCAGUAAUCAUAUUAUUCUGAUUACACACAAUCAACCCAGUAAUCCUAUUAAUCCGAUGACACACAAUAAAAACAUAAUAAAGAAAACCUCUAUUCUGGAUUUUCUCACACUUAAUUAGCAGCUUGUCUUAUUCCUCUCCAUGCCGUUGUGUAUGAUAUAUCCAUACCAAUCUUACGUGUAACCAAAUCGAUUAGAGUAUUGGGAAUUAGUGUGUCAAACCUAAGACAUAAUUAAAUUAGAAAAUAAAUUCAAUAACAAAAUUAAAAAAUAGAAAAAAUAAAAUAUAAGAUCACUAAAUUUAUAUAAAACAAUAUAUUUUUUAUUUUAUAAUUUAUGGAAAAUUUUAAUCCAAUCAUAAAUAUAAAAUAUCAAAAUAAAUAAAAGAAAUAAGUUUAAUUUUAAAGGUGUAAACCAAAAAAUAUUUACUUGUUUAUGAUCAUUGAUUUUUGAAAUAUUAUUUCAGUUAUUUGUUUUAUUAUUUGAAUGUUUAUAAAAUUAUUACUAAAAUACAAUCAAAAUUAAAAAAAAAAUGGAAUGUAUAAAAUGAGAUAAUUUUUUACAAAAUUUGAACUUGUGUUAAAUAUAUUGGUAAUAUCUUCCUUUUAGUAAAAUAAUUUUUUUAUAAUAUAAUUAUGUGAAUAAUAUCCAUUUUUCACAAUACUAUUUUUAAUUUCAGAAUCAUAAAAUAUAAUUAUAUUAUAUUAUAUUAUAAUUUGUCCACUAAAUCUCUUUUUAUUACUAUAUUUAUCAAUAAUAUAAUUAACAAAAACAAAAUAUUUAUUAAAAUAUUAGUAUAAAACAAUAUGUAAAUUGAUUUAUGAAUUAUGUAAUUUUAAUGAAAUUAUUUGACACAAAUAUUUACAGAAACAAAAAAAAAUAUCAUAAAUAAUUAAAGAUCAUAAAUAAAUAAAUAAUUAAAAAAUGGAAAUGGAAUGGAAUUUCUAUAAAUAUUUUAUUUUUGAUUUUAAGUUAAUUGAUAAUUAAAACGUUAUAUAAUUUUUAUAUUAUAAAAUUAAUUUUAAAAUUUAAAUAUAAAAAUUAAAUAAGAAAUUAUUACAAAAGUAAGAAAAUGAAACGAAAAAGAAACAAAACAAUGAAAUAGAAAAAAAAGAAACCAAUCUUUUGUUGGCAAAAAAAAUGUGAAAAGGGCUGUUUAGUUGUUAAAAAAAAAGAGGAAAGAGGAUCCACAGUACUUUUCUGUGGUAGUGGGGUCCAUCGCAGGGGGAAAGAGAAACUACAAAAGAAAAGAAAAAAGAAAAAGAAAAGGAAAGGGUAAUAAUUGGAAGUAAAUUAUUGGAGGGGUAGUAAGAAAAAGUAAGGGGUAAGUAGAAUGGUUUUUUUGCCAUAGGGGCAUUUUGAGUUAAAGUCUGCGGUAGGAAGAGAGGAAGCCAUAGAGAAGAAGAGACGGUUCUUACAGCACCUAGACACCCUAAAUGGGUCUCUUAAUUUUUUUAAAAAUAAAUGUGGUCUAAAAGACUCAACUAAGAGACAUCAAUAUUUAGGUGCUCCAAUGCAAAUCUCUUAAUUAAAGGUUCUUAAAAAAAUUAUUAAACAAUUCUUUUUUAAAAAAGUAAAAUUUAUUUAUUAAAUAAAACAUAAUAAAAAUAACAUUUUAAACAUUGAAUUUAAAAUAAAACAUAAAAAGAGCGAUUAAUAAAAUAAACGAGAAUAAUUUAAAAGAAGCAUCCGAUCUCAAUUGUUGUAUUUAUCACGUCUAAAUUUGCACCAUAUAUGUUCAAUCAAAUCAUUUUUCAGUUGUUGAUGCAUUUGUCUAUCACGAAUUCUAGUUUGAACACCCAUCAUAUUAGCGAUAUUUGUAAAGAUAUCGGUAGAAUACGUGAAAUCCACAUGUGAACUUCCGAUGUUUGAAACAUCAAAUUGAGUAUAUCCUUAGUCAAGUUCUUGAUCCUUCUAUUCAUUAAGUUUUGUUUCCAUACUGCUAUUGAAUAUGAAAUAAUAAUAAAUAUUAAUAUGGGUUUCACAAAUCUUGAUAACCUCUCCCAUUUGUUUCAUCCAAGUUCAAGAACUUGGUUCAUAUUAUCUAGUUCUGAACUGCUUUCUUUUACUUGUUCCUUACGUCAUUGGUCUCAGAAUUUUUCACAUUUUCUAAGAAAACCAAAAGGUGUCUAAACACCGAACCGUAUAUGAAUAUAUACAAUAAAUAAUCUUGGCGAUAAAAAUGUUUGACAUGAGGUACCUCAUGAUAAUAAUCUUUAUGAUGAUGAAGAGAUCCAAAAGAAAAAAAAAACAUCUAUGUUUCUACUAAAGUGGCAGAAACCAGAUCAGGAGGAACAGAAGCAAGAUCAAGCACCCAAGACUCUCUCACACCAUCUCCAGAUUGAUCUUCCGGGAGCUUCCUAGCCGGGAUCUGAUGAGAGAGCAAGGCCGCAACAUCUUCUUUCCGCCUGACCGCAUUACACCCAGGCGUAAUCACGUCUCUUAAACAAGUUAUCAUUAACCUUCUCCAAAUACGCCACACUCAAGCCAUACGCAUCGCAAUACAUAGUCAAGCAUACGACAAUCUCAUACCCACCCUCUGGUCUUUCUUCUCUGGUGACAUGUAUCUGUCUCUGAGUAGACAGCCCAAACCGAGCCUUUCUUUGGAUAUAUUUGGUAUACUUCUCGUGCAACCCUUUCUAGAUCACAUCACAUUAAAAAGAAGAAGGUGCUUACCAUCUUGAAGCGACAUUGACGAUCAACAUAACUUUCCCCUUAUACUUGUUCAAUGAAACAUCAUUCCCAUCAAUGUCCUGUUUCCACAAACAUUGAGUCUCAUUAUGUUUCAAAAUUACAGAUUUAACAAAGAAUACCUCCAUUGAAGUCACUGAACCAAUUUCGUUUACCUAAGCUUCAUCAUAAUUAGAAGAUUCUUUUUUGGUUUUGAUUUAGUUAGAAGGAUAAAGACCAAAAAGACCAAACCUUUACAGUGAAAUUGUGAACGGUCUUCUCAGCAGCAGCUCUAGCUUGAACAUUGAAAAUUCGAGACUUGAAGAGAAACCCUGGAUUAAUCGGAGAUUUUAGAGAAACCGGGGCUUCUACCUCUAGUGGUAAAGGGCUUACAGCUGUGAGUACCGCCACCUGGGUUCGAAUCCUGGCUACUGGGGAAUUAACAUUUCGGCAUCGCCAGGGACAGAGGACCGACACAUGACAACACGUGACUAGUCUGGAUCAUUUAUGUAGGGCCAGGAUACCUCUGUAUAAUUCAAAAAAAAAAA